RNAcentral lists this long non-coding RNA (424 nucleotides) under Salvia miltiorrhiza (redroot sage). RNAcentral's name for it is "long non-coding RNA (SMIL_LNC002553)". Lineage: Eukaryota; Viridiplantae; Streptophyta; Magnoliopsida; Lamiales; Lamiaceae. The record is from RNAcentral.
UCAAAAAUGGUAGGAAGCGUGCAAAAGAGUGGGCGCAUGGUUGAGAUGGGUGAAGGAGUCAAAAGAGUGGGCGCAUGGUUGAGAUGCCUGAUAACUGGUAGCUGUAGUUGGCAGCAAUGGAGGUGGUGGGUUGGGCUUCUUUUUUUUUUUUAGGAAAAAUGACUCUUGGGCUUAAUUAUUAACAAGGAAGACUUAAUUAAAACUAGGGCCCAAAAUAAUAUUUGUCAAAGCCCAACACAUUCAAAAAUUAAAGCCUAAUAUAGACUUAAAUUAAAUCAUGUACAAAUAAAUACUAAUCAUAUAGAAUAAUCACAUAUUCAUAUAAUUCAAUUUAUGAAAUGCACAAAAUUUCAAAAGACUAAAUUUUUAUAAAGGCUUCUGAAAAUAAAUUUUGUUGGAAUUUAAAAUAUAAAUCAUUUUUCAU